UACAGAGGUCCCAAGCGUUGUUCGGAUUCAUUGGGCGUAAAGCGCACGUAGGCGGACUCUUAAGUCGGUGGUGAAAUCCUGGAGCUCAACUCCAGAACUGCCUUCGAUACUGGGAGUCUCGAGUUCGGGAGAGGUGAGUGGAACUGCGAGUGUAGAGGUGAAAUUCGUAGAUAUUCGCAAGAACACCAGUGGCGAAGGCGGCUCACUGGCCCGAUACUGACGCUGAGGUGCGAAAGCGUGGGGAGCAAACAGG
This 253-nucleotide ribosomal RNA is filed under the name uncultured bacterium. Its description in RNAcentral is "partial 16S ribosomal RNA". It matches the Rfam family "Bacterial small subunit ribosomal RNA", at positions 524 to 776 of the family's 1533-position model. The record is from RNAcentral.